GCUUAAGCGACUGAAGUAGGUGGGGAAAGAAAAGCAAUUUCCGCUCUUGGAGCAGACAUGCCGCUUGCAGUAUUAAGAGCUGGACUUCAGGAUCCAAAAGCGCCAUAAUAACUACACAGCGGCAAGUUACACGCAAAUUAAUGAAGUGCACGGAAAAGGGUCACUUCCUUCUCCAGAUCUCAAGACUGCAAGCAAACAAGAAAAUAAAGUGAAAGCAAAACGAACGCCAAGGCCAGUCCGCCAGCCCUGGGCUCCUCGAUCCGUCACGGAUGCUGUGCUUUCGGCAGCCUGACGGGCAUCUGGAUUGAUGAGUCACAGGGAGACAAAUGACAGGUGGCGUCAUCAUCCAAUACAGGCAUGGACCUGCGAUGUGAUGUUUCCCUCAGCCAACGCAUCUCUGCAGUCAAGGCACGGGACUGACAUGGAGAUGAAAGUCAGAUUCUCCUUUUAAUCCCCUGUGUUACUGAUGGACUUUUUCCCAGGGACUGUUGUCAAGGCUUCACCCACGACUGUUUAUCUUCUCUCUUGGAAAUACCUUCGGAAGAACCAUCAUUUCUACCCCAGACAUGACUGCUCUCUUCAUGGAAAGUGAUCCAUGCCCAAACCACGCACUGGCAAGGCACUCACAUCACUCAAAUUGAUCUUUUUUUUUUUUGUACGUGUGACAGUUUACCACAUCUAAACCAUAGAUUAUGAUAAAAUGGAGAUAAGUGUGCUGAAACUCACAUAGCAGGAGAUUAGAGGUGACCAUCACUGAAGUCAGGCAGAGGAACUGGCCUGAUCAAAUGCCAGGAAAAAUAUUGAUUCCAUACACUGUUGCAAAUAUGUAUGUGCGGUACAUCGGUGUGUGUGCAGAUAUCUGUAUUACCUAAAUACAUACGAUAGUGACCAAACACACACUAUAGUCGUUUUGCACACGAGAUAGUGGGUGUUUCAUGGAUACACCACCUUGCAUUUCACUACAGGUUAUAGUCAGACUAUAUACCUUGAAUAUCACCUUUGAAUCUCUGAAUCAUUAAGACGAAUCUCCAUUAUGCAAACAUCCCAAAGAUCUGGCCCAAGUUAGGAGGGUUUAUUUGAUGUUUUCACACUGGUUUCAUUAGAAGACUAAUUGAUUUAUGUACAUGGAUUGCAACACAAUGGCUGUUUGCUCACUGCUAGAAUCUAUCAACAUCGAUGCAUAAAAUGCCAAUGCAGGUGAUGUCUGACAGGCGGUAAUGGAAAUGUCCAAAAGGUACAGACUGCAGGGUUUGUUCCCUGAAUCAGAAUAAGGCUACAAACAAAUGGCGGAGAGGAAAAUGGACAGUGUGUUUGGAGAAUCCGCAUCAGGCGUUUACAGGUGGAGAUCCCACGAUCAGCCAGGAACAUCGGUCUGGUUGAUGGUCCUCACCUGCUUACAUGAUGGAGAUAGAUCUGUUUAAAACACCUCAUUAUAGGGUUUCCGUAGCUGACGGUACCUAAUAUUUCACGGCUGCUGUUUUUUUAAUGUAAAUUAAUUAGCUCCCCCUCUCUGACAGAGUUUGGUACCGUCCACGUUACAUUCUUCUACUUCCCUGAUCUCUACAUAUAGCUUACCCAUUAUUGCAGUUUCCCGAUAGUCUGUGAGAUGAGGUGCUGAAAUAAUUUGCCGCUAUGACUUAUGAAGUUUUAAUGACAUUAUUAGGGGAGCGCUGUUUGAAAACUGUACGGGACGUUUAUGACACGAUGCUGUGAUGUUACGACUGGAAUGGCGUGGCAUUCAGAUCGCACCACAGCCGAAUCGGAGCAUGUGUUCAUGGUAAAGCCCGAAUUGGAAACAGGCAUCACCGGCUUGCUGCCUACAUGAUGUAACAAGCGCUGUCCUCCAUCACUGCGCUCCCCGGAAAUUCCCCUUCGCUGUCAGGCACGAUCUCUUCUGAAUACGUUUGUAGGGAUUUAAUUUUCUCGUUCAUUUCAAACCGAUUAACAGCCUUUGAUAUGUAACUCAUCUCUCAAAAUAUUUAAAGAAGGGAGUCGGAGAACAACAGGAGCCUCAGGAGAAACGUUUAUGGAGAAACGCUGGUUGAAAGGGGUGGGAUUGUAAGAACAAGCGUUCGGCACCGAGCCGCAUUGCUAAACACGACGGAGUUAGAGAUAAUUGCUUCAAUGUUUGCAGAUGUGCAUUAAUUACUUGAGCAUAAUUAGCAUUUUCAGUUAAUUAUUACUUUGGCAAAACCGCUAUGCUCUAAUGAUCUCAGGUGAAGAAAAAUUACACGCUACACAAAGAGUCCCAUGGACAUCUGACUGAAUAUCUUAAAAGCUCAGCUCAGAAGCUUAUCUAACGCCAGAGGCAGCUGUACAACUCAUACAGUUUCCGGUGUUUAUUUGCUUGUUAAACGCCUCCCUUUUCAAGUCGUUCUGUAAUCUUUUUCCCAUUACACAAAGGUAUAUAGUGUUACAUUCGCUUGACAAUCUACAAGACAAUACCCUUGACAUAGGUAUAAUCAUAACUUGCUACUAUCAAUUACAUUAAGUUUCAAUUAUAGUAAUAAAAUUAAAGCCUAAAUGGGUAUUAGCCAAUCAAAUAAAAUUUGCCAUGGAAUCAGCCAUGAAAGGAUGACACAAAGCAUUUGUUCCUCAGCAUAAAAGUGAAUUUUUAUUACAGAGCUAAAAGCUACCCAAUUGGAUACACGUUAACAAACUGUUAAGUAAAUCAUUUUAAUGUCUAACGUGUAAUUAUUCCGAAAUAUCUAGUUGGAAUUAGUGAUCCCAUGCUAAAUGGUAAUCCCUCUUGGAAGCUGAUUAAAGUACCGUUUUUCUGUGCCAAUCAAAAUUACCUUCACAGAUUUCUUUAAUGGGUGUCACGCAGGGGUGUCAAGGUUUCUGUUUAUACACUGGACAAGGAUGAGAGAACGUGGGAAAAUCAGAUCAUAACUUUCUAAAUUGUACAUUUCUCAGUUUACGGUUAGUGCCCAGUCUACCUCAGUCUUUAACAGAAUUGGUGUGCUAAACAUAAUCUUCUUAGCGGUAUAUUGUGGACAUAAAUAUAGGCCUACCUACAUGUAAUUUAUCAUACCAUGUUGAGAGGUCCAUGUAUUUGAUUUAAAACAUCAACAUAAAUAACUAAGGCCUGUAAAAAACUGCAGCAUAAGUUAUUGUUUGGUAAUCGCAAACCCAGUUUGAACCCUUAUUUAACUGGACGAAUUUUAUAUUUUAAAAAAUCUGUAAAAGCCCGCAACCUGUACAUAUAAGACGCCUUAUCAUUUUGUUGGAUUACCCUUGCUAAGCAUGCGCAGUGGGACUGCUCAGAGCGGAAAUACGCCUAUGAAAUCCUGGAUAAGCACAUGAAAAAGCAUCUCCUGCUUACCCUUGGGCUUGCUCUUAAACAGUCAUUUUAGGGCAUCGUCGCCUAUACGUCUUUGUUCCGCUGUGGAAUGAUCACCCGUCUCUCAUACCCCUGUGCCGUUUAUUACACUUACCCCAGCACAUUUUCAAGUGCAAUGCAAUCGUUGACCUGUCUUUGGCAUAGACGCGAAUUCAGGAGCCGCUCCGUACCAUUUAACGGCAUAAAAACGCCCGUAGUACGCUGGCGAAGCCACUCAAAUGGGCCUCUUGCUCUCUAACGGAUCUCAGUACUUUGCCCUUUAUUCACAAACCAGCGGUUUGUGUCACCAAAUGCUGGCCGUUCGCGUUACUACAGUUUUGACACUGAUUGAUUUACAGCUACACCUUUAAAGGAGCUGUGUAAAUGAUUGUUAUUUUAGACCAAGUAUGUUCAGGUUGUCCUUUUACAACAACAACAAGUCUAUAAUAACAGCCUAAGCUAAGAGACAUUAAGGUGCACGAUUUUUCUGCUCGAUACUCAAUUUUUAAGAAGAAUACGUUGUUAAAAUCAUAUUAAGUAAUACAUAUAAAUUGUAGCAAUUCAUUUACUUUUUUCAGUUUUUUUUAAUUCUGUUAUUCUAAGCAGCUUUCAACAAAAAGCACACUAACUACACACUCUUUUUUGAAAAACCAGCGAACAUGUAGAGAUCGCAUUGGACUGCGUUUGAUCGCUGCAUGACGAAGUAUAGCGGUAUGAAAGGUACCCCCACCUUGCAAAAUUAAUUACUAAAUGACCAUUGGCUGAAAGCUAGAAGAAAACUGCAACAAUAAAAUAACAUUUUUAACCAGGCUGUACGUGGUGCCUUUGGCUCAGUCUGGGCUCCAGUCCAGCUGAACACAUAAACGUGCUUUACGGUGGCUUCUGCGUGUUAUUUAUGAGGUGGUAAUUCACAAUAUGAAGGCAUUUAUUUUUGGCAUCACUGCCUGGAGUUCAGCUCUGCCAAGUGGACAUGGCGAUUAUCUGCAUGUCCACCGCUGUAACGUUUCUGGGGGGCUCCCUCGCUGAUGAUAAUGUCCUUAUUCCUCAGCGAAGUGUGCGGCUCUGCCAAGAAAGCGGAUACAGCGAGUUUGAACAAGCUUCACUCGCGAAGCUGAGAAAUGGCCCCCAAACAUAAACAAUUUAAAAGAUCCAAAUCGUAAUUAAAUGCUGUAAUAAAAUUACUGAUUACUGAAUAGGCAAUUUUGCAACUAUUUCGUAAAUAUAUAAUAAAACAACUGUGUUCAGUUCAGAUAUUCAACUCACGGGUGCAUGGAAAGAAUCCAGGUGAUAAGCAUUUUACCUUAAUGUCACUUUGUGCAUUUUUUUCUUGAGGUCAUUUCCAUGAUCUCCACAGCAUGCUGUCAGAUUUUACACUGAGUCGGGUCCGAUCGGUCUGGAGCGCAGUGUGAGCAGCGCGGACAGCGGGCAUCGUGCAUAAACCAACCUGGAAACACGAAUAGUGUGCAAAGCGAAGGCCCCAGCCCACCAGAGCAAGGACGUUGCGAUAGCUUCUCGAUAUCUUCUAGCAGAACUAAACGUCUCGUAUGAGGCCUCCUGUCUUCUAUGUUCGCCAUUGUAUUGAAUGAAAAGACUAAAGUACUAGCGAGCUGAAUUUGUAUUACAUUUAAGACAUAAAACAUGUGUGAACCAACUCCUAUAACAUUUUUAAAAGUCAUUGUUAAAGUUUUACACAUGCAUGUCUCCGGUUUAAUGCCGUCUUUGUGUUAUUCUGUAUUCACAACAAAAUCGAUAUUUUUCAUCAAAUCUAACUGACGAAGCAGCUCUUGUGAUGAGUAUACAGUAAUGUAUGAA
Long non-coding RNA from Brienomyrus brachyistius, 5134 nucleotides. RefSeq lists it as uncharacterized. Lineage: Eukaryota; Metazoa; Chordata; Actinopteri; Osteoglossiformes; Mormyridae. The transcript has 3 exons. The record is from RefSeq and is a predicted model, not a curated record.